RNAcentral lists this ribosomal RNA (498 nucleotides) under uncultured bacterium. RNAcentral describes it as "partial 16S ribosomal RNA". It matches the Rfam family "Bacterial small subunit ribosomal RNA", at positions 28 to 507 of the family's 1533-position model. The record is from RNAcentral.
GACGAACGCUGGCGGCGUGCCUAAUACAUGCAAGUCGAGCGGACCGAUGGGAGCUUGCUCCCAGACCGUCCGCGGCGGACGGGUGAGUAACACUUUGGCACCCUGCCUGUAAGACUGGGAUAACUCCGCCACACCGGUGCUCUCACCGGAUCACUCUCUCCCUCACUUGAGGGCAAGCUGAAAGAUGGCUUCUUGCUAUCCCUUACAGUUAGGCCCGCGGCGCAUUAGCGAGGUGGGGAGGUAACGGCUCUGCAAGGGGGCGAUGCGGAGCCGACCUGAGAGGGUGAUGGGCCAGACUGGGACUGAGACUUGGCCCAGACUCCUACGGGAGGAAGCAGUCGGGAAUCUUGCGGAAUGGACGAAGGUGUGACAGAGGAACGCCGCGUGAGUGAUGAAGGUGUUCGGACCGUAAAGCUCUGUAGUCAGGGAAGAACUAGUACCGGAGUAACUGCCGGUACCUUGACGGUACCUGAUCAGAAAGCGACGGCUAACUACGUG